GGUUCAGUUCCCUAGGGGUAUGAUUCUCGCUCAGGGUGCGAGAGGACCCGGGUUCAAAUCCCGGUCGAAUCC
This 72-nucleotide transfer RNA is filed under the name Araneus ventricosus. RNAcentral describes it as "tRNA-Pro". The record is from RNAcentral. Lineage: Eukaryota; Metazoa; Arthropoda; Arachnida; Araneae; Araneidae.